Molecule: long non-coding RNA, 1696 nt
Filed under: Mus caroli (Ryukyu mouse)
Lineage: Eukaryota; Metazoa; Chordata; Mammalia; Rodentia; Muridae
Description: predicted gene, 55759 (MGP_CAROLIEiJ_G0002470.1)
Source: RNAcentral
AAUGAUAACUUGGCAGAAGAGGAGACAGGCUGCCAGGUUCUCCUCGGGUGGUUGCGUGACAUGGCUAAUUGCCUCAAGACUGAGAUCAAAUUCCACCUUGGCUGAAGAUGGCCCCACAGAAGGUCUUCACUUCCUGCUUCUCCACAGCAACCUCAGAUGGUGUGAAUGAAGAGCAGAAAACCAGUCAAUCGUGGUACUGAGAAUGGAGCUGCUCAGACACCUUCUACUUUUAAAGGCAGGAUGGGAUUCCCGAGGGUCACUCCUCUCUUCCUCUCUCUAUCCACCAGUCAAGAAAAUUGUGGUAGUCAUGGAGUUAGCAAGAAACUGUUGUUAGAGAAUUUGGUUACAGCAUAUGGGAUCUGAAGAAUAAGCCUGGAUGAACCAACCUCAGAAAGCUUCAACUUCCUGACCAGAGAAUUGACAUGUAAAAAGAAUGCUUGAUGCUGGCUGGGGUGAAAGCAUAACUGACUAGCGUCAUAGGUCCUUCAGAGGCCACUGGAAUUCACUGCUGUGUUCUGCACACCUCUGGAUUUCUAUAUAAAGGAAACUGGAGAGUCUGGAAAACAGCACACCUGAAAUCCCCUCUGACAGUCACAGGAUGCAGGAGAUCACACGAAGCCCUGGAACAUCCUGUAACGAAAGCUAUGAAACCCAUUGACUUCAGAAAUGUAUUUCCCAAGAAAUCUUUUGGAGGUAAAGCGUGCCUUAACAUCUGUCUGGAAACUACAGGUUGUUUUCAUGCUGUCAGAGACAGAGCCUUGGUGCUGGAUGGGUUUCAGGUGCAGAGUUGUCCCUUCACGAACUAGACCAUCAUAGGAAAUAAGUCCUGAGCCUUGAUCUUCCCUCAAUGGAUCCAUGUCACCGUUUCUAAAAUUCACCAUCCCCACAGCACUGUAAAAGGAAGGCACACAUGAAGUUCUGCCUUGGAAGCCAUCAGACAGACAACACACACUGCUCAGCAACACAGGAAAUCUGCUGCCGUGUUACCAUUGUGUUGUAUUUUAAGGAGAAAAAGAAAAUCACAGCACAAAAUCACGGCAGCACAAACCAGGUUUCUGAUAUUGAGAGAGAGAGAAAGCAGGGCUGGCCCCACUGUACUGUGUGCAACCAUGUCAACCAUUCUGGGAAACUCCUACAGUGAAGCUGGGUUUGCUUAUACCCACUCUGAUGAGUCUUUUAAACAGCCCCAUGUACUGCAGAUGGUCUUGAACUCACUGUGUAACUGAAGAUGACCACAAACUCCUGAUCCUACCUCCAGCACCCCAAGAACUCGUAUGUGAUGUCAUGCCUUGUUUAUUCAGCACUAAGGAUCAAUGCCAGAGCUUUGGGCACACCAUGAGAACUUUGGGCACGCCAUGAAGGCUUUGGGCACUCCAUGAGGACACUCCACAAACCAAGGCAAAUUCCCAGCAUGCUUUUCUGACCUUUAAACCUUGUUUUAUGUGCUUGCUGCGUGUUUCAAGGAGGAGCACAUGAUCUUCUUGCUCUGGAAAGGGCUGUGUACUUCUCCUCACUCUAGAUGAAGAGAUCAUCAACAAACUAAAGAAAGAAUUCCACUAGGCAUGGUGGCUCACAUCUUUAACCCCAGCACUCAGGAGGCAGAAGCGGGCAGAUCUCUGAGUUCGAGGCCAGGCUGGUCUGCAAUCAGAGUUCCAGAACAGUCAGGGCUACACAGAGAAACCCUGUCUUGGAAAAC